Phyllostomus discolor (pale spear-nosed bat) is the source of this 1699-nucleotide long non-coding RNA. RefSeq lists it as uncharacterized. The record is from RefSeq and is a predicted model, not a curated record. Lineage: Eukaryota; Metazoa; Chordata; Mammalia; Chiroptera; Phyllostomidae. The transcript is spliced from 2 exons.
GUUGACCUGGGAGGUCUUGAGCACUGAGAUUUCAUAAUCCCUAUGGAUCCCACAGGGGCAAACUGGAUUUUAUUCCUUUGGGCCAGGCACUAUGCUCAACUUUGGGUGACAAACUUGGUCUCAUGUAGUUCUGAGCUGAAGGGCAUCCUGACGCUAUUGCCUGGCUUGAUUUCACUAAAUGCUCUGGUGGCUCCACAGAUCACUGUGCUGUGGGCAUUUGAGUCAGAGGACUUGAGCAUAGUUGAGGGUGUUACUAUUUACACUUUCCCAACUGCCUGUGUUUGACAGAAAACAUCUAAAGUGAUACUAUACAUUUAGGGAAGGAAGGUAAUAGUAUCAGUUUAGCCAAGGAAACAUCAUGUCUUUCUACCUUUAAAGGAAGGUUCUUACUAUAAGGAACUGGCCAAAAUGUGAUUUAUUCUCUGUGGUGACCACAUACUAUUUCAUCCACACUUUCAGAAGAGUGGUGGGAGUACCACAGGAUCCCUGGUAGUAUGCUGGCCUUGGCUCCUACAGGCUCUGGGAGCUGGUUGUAUGCAUUACUUCCCAACUCUGCAUUCAAUGUCCUUGUGUUUGUAGCUUCAAAAUGGCUAUAGCGGGUGUAUUUAUGCAAUGAAAAUUGGCAAAUGCUGAAAAUUAGGGCUUUAUUUUCAGAGAGCCAGUUGUUAAGCAUUUACCAGUAUACCACUGACUGGGAUUCAGGUCACAUGUCACUCAGAGAAAAGUCCCAGAGAGCGUCAGCAAACUGAAUUAUUAAAGGACAGGAGGCAGAGCAUGGGAGGAAAGGUCAACAUGUCCUCUGCUAAGUAGGACAAUGCCAGAAGACCAGUUAGAUGAGGGAGCCUCAUUCUCAGGAAAUAGUGUGUUCUAUAAAUAUUUGAGGGCCCACUAAGGUACGAGGGUAGACUUUAGAAUCAUAUUAUCUGCCUCCCUCUCUCCCUCUUCAAGUCCUACCUCAAAUACAGUUGGCCCCAGUGCUGAAUUGCCCAGUAAGUAAAACGAGCAGGUGUUAAGUGUACCAGCAAUGUAGCAGGGACCAAGGAAAGAAGAAGAAAAGAAUAUACUACAUGUCUUCAUGAUAUAUAUGUAUAUAUACAUGCAACAACAUAUUAAUCAUAGGAAAUUCAUAACUUUGAACUUCUUUAUCCUUAUCUCAUGAUUCACUGUUUUUAUUUUAAAUGACUUGGAUUAUUUUGAGUUCCACAUUUAUUACUUAGGGAUUAGGGAAGACCAACAUUUGUUUCCUUUAACUAGGUGUAAAUCUGGCCCCAGUUGAGAUGGGCACCUUUCCAGUGCCUGUAUUGCUGCUGAAAUGUCAGGGUGGAGUUGCCAGAAUAUCAUCACUGCAGGUUUCUGGGUAGGACAGGCAGGUUGAAGUUUGUCCCAGCCAAGAGGGAAGGAGCUUGGUAGGUUUGGUUCUGUACACAGGAGCCGUGAGGCCAAAAAGGGACUUCCCCUUCACACCCGUUGGAAUUUAAGUCCAAAGGCAAACUCAUUGUGCUCCAUUGGCCCUCUCACUGCCCUGAGCGAAUAUGAGGGGAGUGUUGAAAUUUAAAAACAAUCUUUUUAUUUGGGAAAAUUUUAGAAGUUAUGAGAAACCAGGGUAUAGAGUAUAGAUAACUGCUAAUUACUCAUCACUCAGCUUCUCUCACUAUCAACUCAUGUACAAUCUUACUUUAUCUAUGACAUGGGACCCUUC